This is an RNA transcript of Copidosoma floridanum, 3990 nucleotides long. It is a transcript of the gene named crosveinless 2-secreting protein, with no coding region annotated. The record is from RefSeq and is a predicted model, not a curated record. Lineage: Eukaryota; Metazoa; Arthropoda; Insecta; Hymenoptera; Encyrtidae.
UCCUCGCCCUGGGCAGAGUAUAAUACCGAGUGACCGUGUGUUUACCACUUGUGCCUGUACCCAUCACGUUUGACGAGGCCCAAAAUCUGCAGUUCAGCGCGCACCUUUCGAUAUUUGGGAGCCGAUUUGUAGCGAGCGACGGACAGAAGAUCAUUGCAUGAGGAGAGGCCAGCAAAGGCUGCCGACAGAACCGACCAGAAGGAGCUCGAGAUUACAUGCCCCCGAGGAGCGCGGCACCGCUGGAGCCGCAACAGCAGCAUAAUGAAGCUAACAGCUUCGCCAAGACCAUCGUCGUUGGCCCCUUCAUUGCGAGCUCUCUGGAUCGCUGGCUUUUUACUCGCUUCUCUGCGAACAUGCGACGCACUCUCCGAGAGCAUCAAAGGUAGCCGAGAAACUUGCGAAGUCGAGGGUGAAGACUUCACCGUCGACAAAAUACCAAAUACCAAGUGCUUCAAUUGUAUAUGCAAGAACGGCUUCGUCGAGUGCCUGAAGCACCAGUGUCCGAGCAUCGAGGGCUGUUACAUGCUGCUGGAGCGAAGGAAGGACGACUGCUGCAAGAAGUGCAAAGGAUGCGUGAAGAACAACGUGCACCGAGCCUCGGGCACCGAGUGGACGGAGCCGAGCGACCCGUGCAAGAUAUUCACCUGCAACGCCGGUGUCAUCACGGAAUCGAGCCUCCAGUGCUACGCGCCCUGCGCCAAUCCCAUACCUCCGGCUCCCGGCCAGUGCUGUCCCACUUGUGCAGGCUGCUUUGUAAACGGGCAAAAGGUGACGGAGGAGCGGUCGGUCAUGACUGCCGAGGAUCCCUGCGUGACGUGCAAGUGCAACAACGGCCGGCUGACCUGCAUGAAAAAAGCCUGCCCGGUCUUCCACUGCCCCCUGUCCAAGAUCGUCCACCAGCCGGGUGAAUGUUGUCCCAGGUGUCUCGGGGACGGUAACUACAUGUCACCGCCACGGGGUGCCUGCAUGCUCGGGGCCCGGCUUCACAACUCGGGCUCGCAGUUCCAGCUGGACAAGUGCACCCACUGCUCGUGCAACGCCGGCUACGUAAGCUGCGCCAAGGAAACCUGUCCCGUUCUCGAGUGCAACAGCGAGUACCAGAUCAAGCCCAAGGACCGCUGCUGUCCCAUGUGCCCCCUCGUCGAGGAGUCCAGGGCAUCCUGCACUUACGCCGGCAAAACUUACGGGGAUGGCGAAACUUGGAAGCUAGAUCCCUGCAAGUCGUGCGCAUGCAAGCAGGGCAAGGUGCGCUGUGCCAUGUCCAUGUGUCCGCCCUUAAACACCCCCUGUCCGCCGAACUCGCGAUUGGAACUGCCCGAGGGCCAAUGCUGUCCACGAUGCGUUGAAAGCGACGGGGUGUGCACCGUGUUCGGCGAUCCGCAUUACCGCACCUUCGACGGCAAGUUCUACACGUUCCGGGGCGCGUGCAAGUACCAAUUGGCGAGCGACUGCGCCAACCACAGCUUCAGCAUCCGCGUGACGAACGACGCCCGCCAGACCCGCCACUCCGCCUGGACCAAGACCAUAUCCCUCAAGAUCGGCGGCCUCAAGGUCAACCUCGGGCAGCGCAUGCGCGUCAAGGUCAAUGGCCAAAGGGUCGAGGUGCCCCACCGGGUGGCCGGACUCAAGCUCGACAUCAACCGCACCGAGGACACCAUACUCGUCCACAGCGGCCAACUCGGGCUCAGGAUACUCUGGGACGGCAUAAGCUUCCUCGAGGUGACCGCACCCACGGCCUACCGGGGCAAGCUCUGCGGCCUCUGCGGCAACUUCAACUCCAACCCCAAGGACGAUCUGACGAGCCGGCGCGGCCACCUGCUCACCGAUCCCGUGACCUUCGGCAACUCGUGGGCCGUCGGGGCCAAGCGCGUCUGCUCGAGGAUGCGAAGCCAGCACGCGCUCCACAGACGCGGAUGCAAAAUCAAAAAGGACCACAGGCUGUGCAACAAACUGCGCUUGGCUACGUUCGAGUCGUGCAAUCGCAAGGUCAACCCGGCCAUGUACUACAAGGCCUGCCUGCAGGACAUGUGCGAGUGCCCGAACGAGCAGUGCUACUGUCAAUCGUUCAUGGCCUACGCGCACGAUUGCCACCGGCUGGGGAUCCAAUUGCCCACGUGGCGCAAGUCGACGCGCUGUCCCACGGUCUGGGACUCGGCGUUGGCCGUCUACGCGCCCCCUUCACCGCCGUCUACGCUCGUCCUGUCGUCGACCGUCCGCCACGCGGGCCUGCACAAGACGACGCCCCCGGAGACACCGGUCACGGAGCGGAACUCGGAGGGACACCAACUACCGGCCUUCCUGGCGUCCAUGACUCCGGCCCAGAGGUGCAAGCACCCCUCGGGCUAGCCGACCAACUACCCCCCCCCCACCCCACCCCCCCUGGGACUCUUCCUGUAAUACAGUACAGCGCUGCGCGACUGUAUGGGGGGGUAUAUUGCGGACGGGGCGAGGGGGACAAGGGCGCGAUCUACCUACAUACAAUACUGUUACACCCUCGCUCGACGAUCUAACUAGUCACCUGCUUGUGCACACUCGAUAAGCGUUCAAUGCGCACCUUCCAGUAUUUUUUCGGCCGGUGAGCGGGCUCUCGCGGCAAACGUUAUUGCGUCUCUGCGUUGCGCAUAUAUACCCUACUUGUAAUAAAUGUAAUUACCCCCGCGUGUAUACGGCUGCGUUUCGUGUAUGAUAUGGGCUCACGGCUGCGAUUUGCAACAAUUUUUCCCGGCUUUCUUCAAUCCUCAUCACAGACAGAGCUGUCCUGGAGCCAAAAGGUGCAUGGGCCGGCAGUAGUAUGUGUAUAGACGUAAAAUUGCGUGGAUAGCUCUGGGCACAAAAAAAAAAAAAAUCUUACCCAGGGUCUUAUCGCAGCAUUUGUAGCUAAUAAACGUGAGUCGCAAUUUUUUCCUCAACGAGUUGGUUGUAUAGUGAGUCGUGUGAAAAUGAAAAACAAUUGAGUGAUCGUGUACAUAAUUAAAUCGGCAAAUUACGCGUGUUUGCUUAGCUGUUAGAUUUUUUUUUUUUUUUUCCAUCAUCAUUACUAUUAUUCUAAUUAGUUGCUAAUCACGUUACACUACGUAUCUAUACGUUUGUUCCACUGCGCGAGUUCGCGACAAACUCGUCACACGGGCAUUUCAGGACUUGAAAACUAGCUGCUGUAUAAAAAUCGACAAUUACAUGCGUAAAAUUAUGAAAAACAAACAAGUAAAACAAAUCUCAAAGUCAUUAGUCAUAUAAUUUUUCUGUCAAAAAGUAUAUGUAUAUGUAAUUACAUCAUAUAUUAACCAAUUGUCAUCGUUUCGAUAUACUGGCGUGAAUAUUUAUUUAUUUAAUCUACAUGUGUUCACAUGCAGCACUACCACUCCCUGUCUCGUACCAUGUUCCACUGUACUGCGAUCAAAAAAUGUAAACUGAUGCGGUAGUAGAAUCCGAUUCCAAUUCUCGGGUAUAAAAAAUUUCCUAUGCAACGACACUUUUGUGGUCAAGUGUAUUAUCUGUAAUUAUCGCAGGACCUGAUAUUGCGUGAUUUUCCAAUAAAUCGAAAGCAAUUAUAAUAAGGAAUGGCAGAUGAUUAUCGUGCUGUUGGCCAAGGAAGUCGCUCUUACUUUCCUAUUGUCGUUGGUCAAGCGAAGAUGAUGCGUUAGCGCUAGGCUGCACCUUAUCUCAUGUGAAUUUCUUCUCGCGUUUGGCCGUCGCGUCGAGUCACACGCCUUUGUCCACCGAUUUCAUUGUCCUAUAAUUUAACUUUCUUUGGUUCUUUGUGCGAAAAAUCAAUAUAGGUGACCGAAAACGAAAGUUGUACAUACAUAUAGGCUGACUAAAAUAACAUUAUAAAGAAAAUUAUACAAAUAUAUAUAUAUAUAUUUUUUCAUGUUACAUAAGUUAUUCAAGUGAAUUGUCGAUGUAUAAGUUGUAUAAGUGCAGCGAAAAUCCAUUGUGUAUAUGUGUGUACUAUACGCGUGUUUUGUCCUUAAUUUUUUUUGUAAUUUACGU